AAUACCACCCUUUAAUGUUUGAUGUUCUAACGUGGACCCGUGAUCCGGGUUGCGGACAGUGUCUGGUGGGUAGUUUGACUGGGGCGGUCUCCUCCUAAAGAGUAACGGAGGAGCACGAAGGUUGGCUAAUCCUGGUCGGACAUCAGGAGGUUAGUGCAAUGGCAUAAGCCAGCUUGACUGCGAGCGUGACGGCGCGAGCAGGUGCGAAAGCAGGUCAUAGUGAUCCGGUGGUUCUGAAUGGAAGGGCCAUCGCUCAACGGAUAAAAGGUACUCCGGGGAUAACAGGCUGAUACCGCCCAAGAGUUCAUAUCGACGGCGGUGUUUGGCACCUCGAUGUCGGCUCAUCACAUCCUGGGGCUGAAGUAGGUCCCAAGGGUAUGGCUGUUCGCCAUUUAAAGUGGUACGCGAGCUGGGUUUAGAACGUCGUGAGACAGUUCGGUCCCUAUCUGCCGUGGGCGCUGGAGAACUGAGGGGGGCUGCUCCUAGUACGAGAGGACCGGAGUGGACGCAUCACUGGUGUUCGGGUUGUCAUGCCAAUGGCACUGCCCGGUAGCUAAAUGCGGAAGAGAUAAGUGCUGAAAGCAUCUAAGCACGAAACUUGCCCCGAGAUGAGUUCUCCCUGAGACUUUAAGUCUCCUGAAGGAACGUUGAAGACGACGACGUUGAUAGGCCGGGUGUGUAAGCGCAGCGAUGCGUUGAGCUAACCGGUACUAAUGAACCGUGAGGCUUAACCUUACAACGCCGAAG
Molecule: ribosomal RNA, 747 nt
Filed under: Salmonella enterica subsp. enterica serovar Panama str. SA20030878
Lineage: Bacteria; Pseudomonadati; Pseudomonadota; Gammaproteobacteria; Enterobacterales; Enterobacteriaceae
Description: bacterial LSU rRNA
Rfam family: Bacterial large subunit ribosomal RNA
Source: RNAcentral